Molecule: ribosomal RNA, 253 nt
Filed under: uncultured bacterium
Lineage: Bacteria
Description: partial 16S ribosomal RNA
Rfam family: Bacterial small subunit ribosomal RNA
Source: RNAcentral
GACAGAGGUGCCGAGCGUUAGGCGGAAUCACUGGGCGUAAAGGGUGCGUAGGCGGGUCUUUAAGUCAGGGGUGAAAUCCUGGAGCUCAACUCCAGAACUGCCUUUGAUACUGAGGAUCUUGAGUUCGGGAGAGGUGAGUGGAACUGCGAGUGUAGAGGUGAAAUUCGUAGAUAUUCGCAAGAACACCAGUGGCGAAGGCGGCUCACUGGCCCGAUACUGACGCUGAGGCACGAAAGCGUGGGGAGCAAACAGG